UUCGUCGAAGAAAUAGAUAGUUUCAAGCAACUUAAUGUUCACUAUGAAGCAAACUUUAAUAAUUUGUUAUAUUGUUUUAUUAUUGGCUGUGAUUGUAACAGCACAUCAAGAUCAUUUUGCUGAAAAACAUCAUGAAAUUUCUUCACAUGGAAAUAAAAGAUUUUUCAAAUGGUGGGGUUGUUGCCCUUGUGCACGCCCCACAACUACAAUAAGUACUACAUCUACAACAACUCCAAGCACCACAUCUACAACCCCAAGUACUACAUCUACAACAGGGAGUAGUACUUCAAGCUCAACCACCGCUUCAACUUAAUAAAGAAGCUAAAAUAAGCUGACAUAUGCUAAUGUUAUGUGCAUACAUUAAAAUAAAUAUUCUAUUUCAAACAUA
Onthophagus taurus is the source of this 388-nucleotide non-coding RNA. Lineage: Eukaryota; Metazoa; Arthropoda; Insecta; Coleoptera; Scarabaeidae. The record is from RefSeq and is a predicted model, not a curated record.